AUGGCAUACAUGCCUAAUACGACUGUGCAGGCAACUUCGCUGGAGGGUAUGACAACCCAUGGUGAGACGAAACUGAAAGAUGUUAAAAACAUGAAUUUGUGUAAAUUCAUUGCUGACUUCCUGCAUGAUGAAUUCUCAAAUAAGAUGUACCGGAAGGGCUGCCGCCUGCACCUAAUGCUCAUGUACGUCAACCGUCUUGAUUUGCCUACUAUUGAUUUUACUGAGAUUGGAGGUCCGCCGCCUCCACAUAAGUUUGCUGUCUCUGCCUGGAGUUAUGAUGUUGUCAAGGUUGUGCUUGCCGAAGACAGGAUAUCUGAUACAAAAUAUGGCAAACUGCAGCUGAUGGCCAAGCAUGCCAUUGACUAUAGUGUGCUUGGUGGGCCAAGAAAUUUCGGCAAGUGA
This 402-nucleotide ribosomal RNA is filed under the name Triticum aestivum (bread wheat). RNAcentral's name for it is "partial small subunit ribosomal RNA". Lineage: Eukaryota; Viridiplantae; Streptophyta; Magnoliopsida; Poales; Poaceae. The record is from RNAcentral.